Molecule: ribosomal RNA, 421 nt
Filed under: uncultured bacterium
Lineage: Bacteria
Description: partial 16S ribosomal RNA
Rfam family: Bacterial small subunit ribosomal RNA
Source: RNAcentral
AAUAUUGGACAAUGGGGGCAACCCUGAUCCAGCCACGCCGCGGGUGUGAAGAAGGUCUUCGGAUCGUACAGCACUUUAAGUGGGGUGGAAGGGCUUUAGGUUAAUACCCUGAAGUGUUGACGCUACCAACCGAAUAAGCACUGGCAAACUCUGCGGCAGCAGCCGCGGUAAUACAGAGGGUGCAAACGUUAAUCGGACGUACUGGGUGUAAAGCGCGCGUAGGUGGUUCAGUAAGAUGGGUGUGAAAGCCCCGGGCUUAACCUGGGAACUGCUUUCAUAACUGCUGAGCUAGAGUACGGUAGAGGGUAGUGGAAUUUCCUGUGUAGCGGUGAAAUGCGUAGAUAUAGGAAGGAACACCAGUGGCGAAGGCGACUACCUGGACUGAUACUGACACUGAGGUGCGAAAGCGUGGGGAGCAAAC